RNAcentral lists this ribosomal RNA (1471 nucleotides) under Oenococcus oeni. RNAcentral describes it as "bacterial LSU rRNA". It matches the Rfam family "Bacterial large subunit ribosomal RNA", at positions 1025 to 2522 of the family's 2925-position model. The record is from RNAcentral. Lineage: Bacteria; Bacillati; Bacillota; Bacilli; Lactobacillales; Lactobacillaceae.
GCCCAGAUCACCAGUUAAGGUCCCUAAAUAUAUGCUAAGUGGAAAACGUUGUGAAGGUGCAUAGACAACUAGGUGGUUGGCUCAGAAGCAGCCACCCUUUAAAGAGUGCGUAAUAGCUCACUAGUCGAGUGCUCUUGCGCGGAUAAUGUACCGGGGCUAAGCAUAUUACCGAAACUGUGGAUGCGUAAGCAUGGUAGGAUAGCGUAAUUAACGCGAUGAAGGAUGACCGUAAGGACAUGUUGGAGCGUUAACUAGUGAGAAUUCCGGUAUGAGUAGCGAAAGAUAGGUGAGAAUCCUAUCCACCGAAUGAGUAAGGUUUCCCCCGGAAGGCUCGUCCGCGGGGGGUUAGUCGGGACCUAAGGCGAGGCUGAAAAGCGUAGUCGAUGGACAACAGGUUGAUAUUCCUGUACCGAUAUUUAAUUGCCGAAGGAAGGACGCAGAAGGAUAACACAGGCCACUAUUGGAUGUGGUUUUAAACAGUUAGUCUUCAUAAGAGUCAAAUGCUUUUAUGUUUAAGGAUAAGCUGUGAAUGUACCAAGUUUACUUGGAAAUUGUGUGAUUUCACGCUGCUGAAAAAAGUUUCGUAGGAAGAAAAUAUUGCCCGUACCGCAAACCGACACAGGUACUCAAGUGGAGAACACUAAGGUGAGCGAGUGAACUAUUGUUAAGGAACUCUGCAAAAUGAGUCCGUAACUUCGGAAGAAGGACUGCUGGUUUUAUACCAGCCGCAGCAAAUAGGCCCAAACAACUGUUUAUCAAAAACACAGGUUUCUGCAAAAUCGUAAGAUGAAGUAUAGGGGCUGACGCCUGCCCAGUGCUGGAAGGUUAAAAGGAGGACUUAGCUUCGGCGAAGGUCUUAAUUGAAGCCCCAGUGAACGGCGGCCGUAACUAUAACGGUCCUAAGGUAGCGAAAUUCCUUGUCGGGUAAGUUCCGACCCGCAUGAAAGGCGUAAUGAUUUGGGCGCUGUCUCAACAAUAGACUCGGUGAAAUUUAAAUUCCAGUGAAGAUGCUGGGUACCCGCGACAGGACGGAAAGACCCCGUGGAGCUUUACUGUAGCUUGAUAUUGAAUGUUUGUGCUGCAUGUGCAGGAUAGGUAGGAGACUUUGAAGUCGGAACGCUAGUUUCGAUUGAGUCACCCUUGAGAUACUACCUCUGUUGUAUGAACGUUCUAACUCUGAUCAGUUAUCCUGAUCGAAGACAGUGUCUGGCAGGCAGUUUGACUGGGGCGGUCGCCUCCUAAAAGAUAACGGAGGCGCUCAAAGGUUUGCUCAGAAUGGUUGGAAAUCAUUCGUAGCGUGUAAAGGCAUAAGCAAGCUUGACUGUGAGACUGACAAGUCGAGCAGGUACGAAAGUAGGACUUAGUGAUCCGGUGGUUCCGUAUGGAAGGGCCAUCGCUCAACGGACAAAAGCUACCCCGGGGAUAACAGGCUCAUCUCCCCCAAGAGUCCACAUCGACGGGGAGGUUUGGC